This 253-nucleotide ribosomal RNA is filed under the name uncultured prokaryote. Its description in RNAcentral is "partial 16S ribosomal RNA". It matches the Rfam family "Bacterial small subunit ribosomal RNA", at positions 525 to 777 of the family's 1533-position model. The record is from RNAcentral.
ACGAACCGAGCGAACGUUGUUCGGAAUCACUGGGCUUAAAGGGCGCGUAGGCGGGCUGUCAAGUCUGGGGUGAAAUCCCGCGGCUCAACCGUGGAACUGCCUCAGAUACUGACGGUCUCGAGGGAGGUAGGGGCGAGCGGAACUGAUGGUGGAGCGGUGAAAUGCGUUGAUAUCAUCAGGAACACCGGAGGCGAAGGCGGCUCACUGGGGCUUUUCUGACGCUGAGGAACGAAAGCCAGGGGAGCGAACGGGA